UGGGGCGUCGUCUAAUGGGCAGGACCCAGGAUUUUGGAUCCUGUUGUGGAGGUUCGAAUCCUCCCGCCCCAGCCA
Molecule: transfer RNA, 75 nt
Filed under: Pseudomonadota bacterium
Lineage: Bacteria; Pseudomonadati; Pseudomonadota
Also listed under: 1 other name
Description: tRNA-Gln
Rfam family: tRNA
About the family: Transfer RNA (tRNA) molecules are approximately 80 nucleotides in length.
Source: RNAcentral